AUUGAACGCUGGCGGCAUGCCUUACACAUGCAAGUCGAACGGCAUCGCGGGAAAGCUUGCUUUCCUGGCGGCGAGUGGCGAACGGGUGAGUAACACAUCGGAACGUACCGGCUAGUGGGGGAUAACCCGUCGAAAGACGGGCUAAUACCGCAGACGCUCUUCGGAGGAAAGCAGGGGAGCUUUGGGCCGUGCGCUAGCCGAGCGGCCGGUGUCCGAUUAGCUGGUUGGUGGGGUAAAGGCCUACCAGGGCGACGAGCGGGAGCGGGUCGGAGAGGAGGAUCGGCCACACUGGGACUGAGACACGGCCCAGACUCCUACGGGAGGCAGCAGUGGGGAAUCUUGGACAAUGGGGGCAACCCUGAUCCAGCAAUGCCGCGUGGGUGAAGAAGGCCUUCGGGUUGUAAAGCCCUUUCGGCGGGGAAGAAAUCGGCGGGGCUAAUACCCCGGCUGGAUGACGGUACCUGCAGAAGAAGCACCGGCUAACUACGUG
Molecule: ribosomal RNA, 490 nt
Filed under: uncultured bacterium
Lineage: Bacteria
Description: partial 16S ribosomal RNA
Rfam family: Bacterial small subunit ribosomal RNA
Source: RNAcentral